GGGCCCGCACAAGCGGUGGAGUAUGUGGUUUAAUUCGAUGCAACGCGAAGAACCUUACCAGGGUUUGACAUCCUGCGAAUCUCUUGGAAACGAGAGAGUGCCUUCGGGAACGCAGUGACAGGUGGUGCAUGGCUGUCGUCAGCUCGUGUCGUGAGAUGUUGGGUUAAGUCCCGCAACGAGCGCAACCCACGUCUUUAGUUGCCAGCAUUAGUUGGGCACUCUAGAGAGACUGCCGGUGAUAAACCGGAGAAGGUGUGGAUGACGUCAAGUCAUUAUGCCCUUACAUCCUGGGCUACACACGUACUACAAUGCUACGGACAAAGGGCUGCAAGUUCGCGAGGACAAGCAAAUCCCAUAAACGUGGCUC
RNAcentral lists this ribosomal RNA (367 nucleotides) under uncultured bacterium. RNAcentral describes it as "bacterial SSU rRNA". It matches the Rfam family "Bacterial small subunit ribosomal RNA", at positions 917 to 1289 of the family's 1533-position model. The record is from RNAcentral.